AUUAAUGUGAAUUUACCUUUAAAGGUCAGGAUGCUCAUUGCUACCAACUGACCAUUACAAUGCCUCUCUGGGCAGUUGCCCUUUGCCAGGUUAACCUGUACACCUCUGAUUUGUACCUGAAAUAUACUGAAUGCCUAAAGUAUUGCAGUAAGUAGUUAUUCCUUUUAUUGGACUAACAAUACAGAUAGAAAAACACGCUUUUAUACAUUUCCUGUCUUUCUCAGGACAGAAGCAAAACUGUUUCUUUUAUCAAGAUUUACGUAUAACUGAAGACGACAGAAACCCCUUGAAAGGUUCUC
Molecule: non-coding RNA, 299 nt
Organism: Pelobates cultripes (western spadefoot toad)
Lineage: Eukaryota; Metazoa; Chordata; Amphibia; Anura; Pelobatidae
Source: the annotation of a GenBank genome assembly